CCUCCUUUCUAAGGAUGAAUGAAAGUAAAAUUUCAUUCUAAAUAAUAUACAUCGGUAAUGUUGACCGUCCUCAUUUCUCUUCUUAAAGUAAUGUUUCCUUCUUGUAGGGCCGGUAGCUCAGUUGGUUAGAGCACACCCUUGAUAAGGGUGGGGUCGAAAGUUCGAGUCUUUCUCGGCCCACCAUACUUAACUGGGGGAUUAGCUCAGCUGGGAGAGCGCCUGAUUUGCAUUCAGGAGGUCAGCGGUUCGAUCCCGCUAUCCUCCACCAGGAAACAUUUAGUUAUUAAAACUGUAAAUAAAAAUAAUUAUAUCAAUAUCUAUAUCCGAACAUUAAAUGUUAUUAUUUAAUGUUCAAAAAUAAAAAUUUGAUCACAACACAGAUCUAAUUUCUUUAAAAAGAAUNUUUUUCUGUGCAUAAAUCAAGCGUUAAGGGCGUGUAGUGAAUGCCUGGGCACUGAAAGCCCGAUGAAGGACGUGAUAUACUGCGAUAAGUUUCCGGGGGAA
Molecule: transfer RNA, 504 nt
Filed under: uncultured Pelagibacterales bacterium
Lineage: Bacteria; Pseudomonadati; Pseudomonadota; Alphaproteobacteria; Candidatus Pelagibacterales
Description: partial 16S-23S ribosomal RNA intergenic spacer
Rfam family: tRNA (bases 107-180)
Source: RNAcentral